Capsicum annuum is the source of this 573-nucleotide long non-coding RNA. RefSeq lists it as uncharacterized. The transcript has 2 exons. The record is from RefSeq and is a predicted model, not a curated record. NCBI's taxonomy places the organism in Eukaryota, Viridiplantae, Streptophyta, Magnoliopsida, Solanales, Solanaceae.
UACUUGGGAAUUAAUAGACACCCGUUAUAAGCUGGUCGGUUGGAGUCUGAUUGGGAUAUCCCCAACAGCAUCCAUACUAGUGGCCUCAUUUGUGGUUGGGAAACUCUCUAAUAGGUGGGCACGGAUAGCGAGUGGUGCAACUAAUGAUGCCGUGAGGUUGGUAUGCACACCCUUUUUUAUCUAGACUACCAACUUCAUAGAAGAAAGCAUAUCUCUCACCUCUUUCAAUAAAAUCUCUGGGAGGAUUUGAUUGAUUUGGAUCAAAAUCUAAUAUUUAAGGAACCGAUGGCCAUUGUGGAUAGGCAGAUCUAGAAGUUAUGGUGCAAGGAGAAAGCAUUAAUGAAGAUUUAGUGGAAGAAUCAACCAGAUGAUGAGGUUAUUUGGGAGAUCGAGUUUUAUUUGAAAGUAGACAUCUCAAGCUUUUCAAUAGUUCAUUUACCUUCCUUAUCCCUAUGUUUAUAGUCAAACAUGUGUUUUAGUGGUGGAUGUUGUAAUGACCCUUAUACUGGUUUGUCACUUUUGGUGUAUUCUUACUAUUUUAACCUUUUAGUAGUAAUAUUAUAGUAUUUGUGG